Non-coding RNA from Ictidomys tridecemlineatus (thirteen-lined ground squirrel), 1053 nucleotides. Lineage: Eukaryota; Metazoa; Chordata; Mammalia; Rodentia; Sciuridae. The record is from RefSeq and is a predicted model, not a curated record.
UGAAACCAAAACAGAGGAGAUAGGUGGACAGCUGGACUUUCCAGAAACUACCGAUUAGCCCACUUUGGUUUGUGUUUUUUUCCAAUGCAGGAUGGAAAUAAUUGGCUGUUUGCAAACAACAUGCAGAAAGAGGAAAUGUUUGAGCUAAAGCUAUAAUUAGUUUGUCAGUGCCGUGUGUCUAUGAUGUGUGUACAAAGAGAAAUGCAUUCCUGCUGCAAUAACUUCCUUUUCCCUCUCUGCCAUCUCUUUCCAAAAUGGGCCUGAAUAAUAGAAGACCAAUGGAAGUAAGACAGCAGUGAGUCAUUUGGUGGAAAGAGACAUUGACAACAAACAUGGCUAGCAGGCUGCAAAUGGAGCCUGGAAUAUAAUCUUCUGUCAGUCGCUGAUUGGUAGAGCUUGGACAAAUGAAGCAACCAUCUGGUUGUUCUUCCUAACUACAGACCAACAAUAGGCUAGGAAGGCCAUUUCCUUUCUUUAGAGAUUUCUUGUAAGCUAAAUAGCUGGUGUCUUUGUACCACUAUCAACUUAGUGUGGCUGGUGUCUUUCUAGCACUUGGAACAUAGCCUACGGUGAACAGAUAACAGCUUGAGAACAACACUACCUGCACUUGAAUGAGCUCUGUCACUUGCUGUGUAACCUUGGGAAAGAUGCUCAAGUCCUUUAUUUCUCAGUUUCCUUGUUUAUACAACAAAUAGGUGGCUUAAUCCACAGGCAUGAAGGCUGCCAAUAUGGGAGGUAGACGCUACAUACACGAAAAAAAGACUGAAAGAAAACACUCUAAAAUGUCACUAAUGGUUUUCAUUGACUCCUAGAAUCAGGUUUUACCUCCCUAGAUGCUCAAACACAGAGAUGCAAGAAUUACUUAGAAGAAAAGUAAGAAGGCAGCCUUGAGUGCCACGGUACUGCUUGAAUGAAGCCAGGCUGAUUAAAGACUACAGUUGUCCACUUUUUUUCCACCGUUUCAUUUUCCAUGGUUCUAGUUGCCUGUGGUCAACGGUAGUUCUUAAAUAUUGAAUAGAAACACCCAGAAAUAAAGGAUUCAUAAGUAUUUUA